Molecule: non-coding RNA, 79 nt
Organism: Podarcis lilfordi (Lilford's wall lizard)
Lineage: Eukaryota; Metazoa; Chordata; Lepidosauria; Squamata; Lacertidae
Source: the annotation of a GenBank genome assembly
UAUAUGUGUGUGUAUAUACAGUGUGUGUGUGUGUGUGUAUAUAUAUACACACACACACACACAUAUAUAUAUACAUAUG